ACAACGGCUUUGAGUCGGGAGAGUAAUAUUAUGUGCUUUUUCAGAGACAGGCGGAUUUGCUGGAACUGCCUGACUGCACCUGAUAUGAAGGACACUCGGUGAGCCGGCGGGUGAAUAAAAGCCCGUCCGCAUAUCUGCGUUAAAGAUGUAUGAGGCCGCACUGCGGCAAAUACGGGUGGUACCACGGUUUUACAGUCGUCCCGAAU
RNAcentral lists this non-coding RNA (206 nucleotides) under Ruminococcus sp. Its description in RNAcentral is "T-box sequence". It matches the Rfam family "T-box leader". From Rfam's summary of the family: Uncharged tRNA acts as the effector for transcription antitermination of genes in the T-box leader family. T-boxes are found upstream of many aminoacyl-tRNA synthetase genes and some amino acid biosynthetic genes usually in Gram-positive bacteria. Lineage: Bacteria; Bacillati; Bacillota; Clostridia; Eubacteriales; Oscillospiraceae. The record is from RNAcentral.